RNAcentral lists this ribosomal RNA (253 nucleotides) under uncultured bacterium. Its description in RNAcentral is "partial 16S ribosomal RNA". It matches the Rfam family "Bacterial small subunit ribosomal RNA", at positions 524 to 776 of the family's 1533-position model. The record is from RNAcentral.
UACGUAGGGGGCAAGCGUUGUCCGGAAUCAUUGGGCGGAAAGCGCGUGUAGGCGGCCAGAAAAGUCCGCUGUGAAAACUCGAGGCUCAACUUCGAGCUGUCGGUGGAAACUUUCUGGCUAGAGUCCGGAAGAGGAGAAUGGAAUUCCUGGUGUAGCGGUGAAAUGCGCAGAUAUCAGGAAGAACACCCGUGGCGAAGGCGGUUCUCUGGGACGGUACUGACGCUGAGACGCGAAAGCGUGGGGAGCAAACAGG